This 1643-nucleotide ribosomal RNA is filed under the name metagenome. RNAcentral's name for it is "bacterial LSU rRNA". It matches the Rfam family "Bacterial large subunit ribosomal RNA", at positions 1215 to 2925 of the family's 2925-position model. The record is from RNAcentral.
GUUAUGCAAGUUGGUAGGGGAGCAUUCUAUUAUAGGGAGAAGCAUGACCGGAAGGACAUGUGGACGAGAUAGAAGAGAGAAUGCCGGAAUGAGUAGCGAGAAUUAUGUGAGAAUCAUAAUGGUCGAAAACCUAAGGUUUCUUGAGGAAGGUUCGUCCGCUCAAGGUAAGCCGGGAGCUAAGGCGAGGCCGAAAGGCGUAGUCGAUGCACAUACGGUAGAAAUUCCGUAGCCACCGAAAUUGUUAAGCACAGGGACGCAGGAACAUAAUCCAACCGCACCGAUGGUCGAGUGCGGCGAAAGGGAGCGAAAAUUAAGUAGCGAAGUGGAUGAUUGUACACUGACGAGAAAAGCUGUGUGGAUUGAUGAGGUGCCCGUACCGUAAACCGACACAGGUGGGUGAGGAGAGAAUCCUAAGACCAGCGGGAGAAGUGUUGUUAAGGAACACGGCAAAUUGACCCCGUAACUUCGGGAAAAGGGGUGCCUGCUAGCGCAGGCCGCAGAGAAUAGGCCCAAGCGACUGUUUAGCAAAAACACAGGUCUCUGCUAAAUCGAAAGAUGAAGUAUAGGGGCUGACGCCUGCCCGGUGCCGGAAGGUUAAGAGGAGGACUUAGCGCAAGCGAAGGUCUGAAUUGAAGCCCCGGUAAACGGCGGCCGUAACAAUAACGGUCCUAAGGUAGCGAAAUUCCUUGUCAGGUAAGUUCUGACCCGCACGAAUGGCGUAACGAUUUGGGCACUGUCUCAACAACACACCCGGUGAAAUUGUAGUACCGGUGAAGAUGCCGGUUACCCCGACUAGACGGAAGGACCCCAUGGAGCUUUACUGUAACUUGAUAUUGGAUUUUGGUAUUGCAUGUACAGGAUAGGUGGGAGACUGAGAAGCACAGACGCCAGUUUGUGUGGAGUCAAUGUUGGGAUACCACUCUUGUGAUACUGGAAUUCUAACCUGCGGCCGUGAAACCGGUCGGGGGACAAUGUCUGGUGGACAGUUUGACUGGGGCGGUCGCCUCCUAAAGAGUAACGGAGGCGUUCAAAGGUUAGCUCAGUACGGUCAGAAAUCGUACGAAGAGUGCAAACGCAAAAGCAAGCCUAACUGCGAGACGAACAGGUCGAGAAGUAACGAAAGUUGGAGUUAGUGAUCCGGCGGUAAGAGAGUGGAAUUGCCGUCGCUCAACGGAUAAAAGCUACCCUGGGGAUAACAGGCUGAUCUCCCCCAAGAGUCCAUAUCGACGGGGAGGUUUGGCACCUCGAUGUCGGCUCAUCGCAUCCUGGAGCUGGAGUCGGUUCCAAGGGUUGGGCUGUUCGCCCAUUAAAGCGGUACGCGAGCUGGGUUCAGAACGUCGCGAGACAGUUCGGUCCCUAUCUGUCGCGGGCGCAGGAAAUUUGAAGGGAGCUGUCCUUAGUACGAGAGGACCGGGAUGGACGUACCACUGGUGUACCAGUUGUCUUGCAAAGGCACGGCUGGGUAGCUAAGUACGGAAGGAAUAAACGCUGAAGGCAUCUAAGCGUGAAGUCCCCCCUAAGAUAAGAUUUCCCAUUCUUUAAAAGAAGUAAGACCCCACGUAGACUAUGUGGUUGAUAGGUCGGAGGUGUAAGUGUGGUAACACAUUAAGCUGACCGAUACUAAUAGGUCGAGGGCUUGACCU